GGGUAACCUGCCUUAUAGUGGGGGAUAGCCUUUCGAAGGAAGAUUAAUACCGCAUAAGAUUGUAGUAUCGCAUGAUAUAGCAAUUAAAGGAGCAAUCCGCUAUAAGAUGGACCCGCGUCGCAUUAGCUAGUUGGUGAGGUAAUGGCUCACCAAGGCGACGAUGCGUAGCCGACCUGAGAGGGUGAUCGGCCACAUUGGGACUGAGACACGGCCCAGACUCCUACGGGAGGCAGCAUG
RNAcentral lists this ribosomal RNA (237 nucleotides) under uncultured bacterium. Its description in RNAcentral is "partial 16S ribosomal RNA". It matches the Rfam family "Bacterial small subunit ribosomal RNA", at positions 119 to 353 of the family's 1533-position model. The record is from RNAcentral.